This 2216-nucleotide long non-coding RNA is filed under the name Homo sapiens (human). RNAcentral describes it as "non-protein coding ZBED5-AS1:22". The stretch from base 2068 to 2215 matches the Rfam family "Metazoan signal recognition particle RNA". The record is from RNAcentral. Lineage: Eukaryota; Metazoa; Chordata; Mammalia; Primates; Hominidae.
UUCCAAGGAUCUCACAAUCUAGACAAAAGAUAAAUACACCAAUUAUAUAAAAGGCAGGGAAGGGUGGAAUCAGUGCUAAACCAAAGAUACCAUAAGCUUUCAUAAAGGGAAUAAUAGGGAGAUGAGGCUGUGGCCAUUCUUCCUUAAGUGCCAGAAUGAUGAUUUGGGACUUGACUACACAGACAAAGUUCUUGAACUGAUCAGAACUCUGAUCAGUUUUAGUGUAAAGCUGAUCAGUUUUAAUUGAUCCAUGUACUGUUUUAGAAAAACUAUCCUUACAGUUUGUGUAGAAUGGAUUGAACUGGGGUGUGGUGGUUCACGCCUGUAAUCCCAACACUUUGGGAGGACGAGGUGUGUGGAUUUCUUCAGCCCAGGAGUUCAAGACCAGCCUGGAUAAUAUGGUGAAACCCCGUUUCUAUAAAAAAAUACAAAAAUAAGUCAGGGUGUGGUGGUGCACCUGUGGUCCCAGCCACUCAGAAGGCUGAGAUGGGAGGAUCGCUUGAGCCCAGGAGGAGGAAGUUGCAGUGAGCUGUGAUUACGCCACUACACUACAGUCUGGGCAACAGAGUUACACCCUGUCUCAAAAAAAAAAAAAAAAAAGAAAAGAAGUGCUCUAAUCUGUAUUAUUUCCUUACCUCUGCAAACUUAGUUUGUUCUUGUUUAUCUAGUUCCUUCGCCCCCAUGAUUCAAUUAUCUCCACCUGGUCCCUACAAUUCAAGAUGAGAUAUGGGUGGGGACACAGAAAAGCCAUAUCAAAAACCAUAUUGUGAUCCUUCAGUAACCAGUCUCCAAGAAGGCCCCAGUGAUCUCCACUUUCUAGUAUUAAAUGACCUUAUGUAGCCUCCUCCCAUACUCAUUAGGGUUGACCUGUGUAACCUAUAGAAUAUUGCAGACAUGAUGGUGUGUGACUUCUGAGGCUAUAGAUAUCAUAAUAGGUAUUGUCAUUUCUGCCUUACAUCUGGAGAAAGCCAGAUGCCAUAUUGUAAAGACACUACAGAGAAGUUCAAAUGGCAUGGAACUGAGGCCUGCUACAAAGACCCAGCACAAACUUGCCAAGUAUGUGAGUGAACCAUAUUGAAAGCAGAUCCGCCAGCCCCAGUCAAGCCCCAAAUGACAUCUUGACACCAACGUUAUGAGAUAACCUGAGCCAGAAUCACCCCCCUAAGCCAAUUCUAGAUUCCUGACCUAAAGAAACUGUGUGAGAUAAUGCUUGUUAUUUUCAGUUGCUAAAUUUUGGGUAAUGUGUCACACAAUACAGAUAAUAAAGGUCUCAUCUUGCACAGGGAUGGCAAUUUUCCUCUUCUCUAUCCUAUCUCCUAUAACUAACUCCAGAUUCAUAUAUUGAGUCAGAUCCUCACAUGCUGUAAGGCAGAGGUCCCCAGCCUGUUAGGAUCAGGCUGCACAGCAGGAGGUGAGGGGCAGGUGAGUGAGUGAAGCUUCAUCUGUAUUUAUAGCCAUUCCCCAUUGCUUGCAUGACCGCCUGAACUCUGCCUUCUGUCAGAACAGCAGCAGCAUUAGAUUCUCAUAGGAGCACAAACCCUAUUGUGGACUGCACAUGUGAGGGAUCUAGGUUGCAUGCUCCUUAUGAGAAUCUAGCAUUCUAUUUAUACAACAGGUUGCAAAUGUUAAUUGGCUCUAUAGUUACUGAUUAUUCCAGUGAUAUUUCAGUGCCCCUUUCAGAUAAAUGAUUUGGGCAACGCCCCAACUGCUUACCUUUUAAUCCAGAUCUGGUUGUGGUUAAAAAAAAGAGCAGGAAUAUACAAAAAUUAACUGGGCAUGAUGGGGUGCAAGCCUAUAAUCCCAGCUGCUCCGGAAGCUGAAGCAGGAGAAUUGCUUGAACCCAGGAAGUGGAGGUUGCAAUGAGCUGAGAUCACACUGUUGCACUCCAGCCUGGGUGACAGAGCGAGACUGUCUCAAAAAAAAAAAAAAAAGGCCAGGCGCAGUGGUUCAUGCCUGUAAUCCCAGCACUAUGGGAGGCCGAGGCAGGCAGAUCACCUGAGGUCAGGAGUUUGACACCAGCCUGGCCAACAUAGUGAAACCCCGUCUCUACUAAAAAUACAAAAAUUAGCUGGGUGUGGUGGUGCACGCCUGUAGUCCCAGCUACUCAGGAGGCUGAGACAGGUGAAUCACUUGAACCCAGGAGGCAGAGGUUGCAGUGAGCUGAGAUUGAACCAUUGCACUCCAGCCUGGGCAACAGAGUGAGACUCCGUCUCAAA